UUUUUCACAAAUGAGCCGCACAAAACAAAUGCUCAUUUUCUCGCGCUCUCAGCUCUCUUCACCUCAAACAACUGUCGUUCAUUCUUUACCUCAAACCCUCAAUCUCUUCCCUUUGCUUCUUCUCCGCCGGUAACCUGCCACCACCAUUGCUCUUGCAGACGGCACGGAGGCUUCUGUCGUAGUUGUUUUGUUGUCGCGCUGCCCUGCUUGUUGUGCUAUUAUCUCUCUUGCCUGCUCCAUCUUUCUCUCGUCACUACUCUGUAUCGCCACCGCCACAGUGGCGGAGGAUGGUGGCUGAGGGUUUUUCAUCCUUGCUACCCUAUUGAUCGAUGGAUAAAAGCCCUACCACAGGCAGUGUUUCAACAUUUGCUGAAGAAAAACAAAGUUUAGCCAAGACUUCACUCACUUAUAAUUGUAAAAUGUAUUCAACAAUCCGAGGGAGCAGCCUUUUACCAUUGAGUAGAUAAAUGAAGUUCGAGAAAAGUUGGCAAACUUCAUUACCAUUUAUUGUCUUUGAUAUUUUCUUGUAGUGAAUCUUAGAUUAUGGAUGCUAGUUUUUCAGAGGAUUGUAAUGUAAUCAAUUUUUAUAUUUAUAAUUAAUUAUUUAUAUAAUUGGAUACUAUUUUUAUGUGA
This is a long non-coding RNA of Spinacia oleracea (spinach), 633 nucleotides long. RefSeq lists it as uncharacterized. Lineage: Eukaryota; Viridiplantae; Streptophyta; Magnoliopsida; Caryophyllales; Amaranthaceae. The transcript has 3 exons. The record is from RefSeq and is a predicted model, not a curated record.